RNAcentral lists this long non-coding RNA (492 nucleotides) under Elaeis guineensis (African oil palm). RNAcentral's name for it is "long non-coding RNA (EGUI_LNC081459)". The record is from RNAcentral. Lineage: Eukaryota; Viridiplantae; Streptophyta; Magnoliopsida; Arecales; Arecaceae.
CCAUCCAGUCAUGAUCUCUACUAGAUCCAGAGUAGUCAGUCUUUUCUUUAGUUUUUGUCUAGGAUAUGUAAUGCAAUGGUAUCUAAUGUUGACUGUUUGAUUUUUGGAUAGUCUCUAUCCAUGUCUUUUGUAUUCUAAGUCAACUUCUAUGUAUUGAACCAUCUUUGUACUCACUCAUCUUUUGGAUAUAUAUAUAUACACUUUGACUUUCAAUGAAUAUCUCUGAAUGUGAUCCACUUGAAUUACUUUUAAAUUGUGAAAAACUUGAAUAGCAAUAUCUUUUAAAUGGGCAAAUUGAUAUAUCUUUUACGAUUGCUAUAUUAAAGGGGAGUAAAGUAAUAAGCAAUACAAAAUGGUAAAGCAAUAAGCAAUUAAAGAAGGAAGCUAGAGAACUAAAAUUGAACCCAUCAAAAAGAAGGAAUAGAAGAUAUGUUCAAAAAGGGAGAGUAGAGAAUCAAGAUUGAUGCUGUCAAAAAGGGGGAGUAGAGAAUC